RNAcentral lists this unclassified non-coding RNA (230 nucleotides) under Hevea brasiliensis (rubber tree). Lineage: Eukaryota; Viridiplantae; Streptophyta; Magnoliopsida; Malpighiales; Euphorbiaceae. The record is from RNAcentral.
UCCAUCUCCUCUUUUGGAAUCAACCAUGAGUUCACUUCAAUGUUAUAUCCUUUGCUCAUUAGUUCUGUGGGUAUCCUUGUUUGUUUGAUUACAACACUCUUCGCCACUGAUUUCUUUGAAAUCAAGGCUGUAAAGGAAAUUGAACCAGCAUUGAAGAAGCAGCUUAUUAUCUCCACUAUUCUGAUGACUGUGGGCAUUGCUAUUGUAACCUGGAUUGGCUUGCCUUCAUC